This 459-nucleotide ribosomal RNA is filed under the name uncultured bacterium. Its description in RNAcentral is "partial 16S ribosomal RNA". It matches the Rfam family "Bacterial small subunit ribosomal RNA", at positions 338 to 795 of the family's 1533-position model. The record is from RNAcentral.
CCUACGGGCGGCAGCAGUGAGGAAUCUUGGUCAAUGGUCGUAAUCCUGAACCAGCCAAGCCGCGUGCAGGAAGACGGCCCUAUGGGUUGUAAACCUCUUUUAUCGGGGGACAAAACCCGUGACGUGUCCCGUCCUGCAUGUAUCGGAUGAAAAAGCAUCGGCUAACUCCGUGCCAGCAGCCGCGGUAAUACGGGGGGUCCGAGCGUUAUCCGGAUUUAUUGGGUUUAAGGGGUGCGUAGGCGGUCGGUUAGGUUUGCGGUAAAAUUGCGGGGCUCAACCACGUCGGGCCGUUGCAACUGGCAGACUUGAGUUGGCGAGACGUACGCGGAAUGCGCGGUGUAGCGGUGAAAUGCAUAGAUAUCGCGAAGAACUCCGAUUGCGAAGGCAGCGUACGGGAGCCAGACUGACGCUGAGGCACGAAAGCGUGGGGAUCGAACAGGAUUAGAUACCCUGGUAGUC